RNAcentral lists this ribosomal RNA (491 nucleotides) under uncultured bacterium. RNAcentral describes it as "partial 16S ribosomal RNA". It matches the Rfam family "Bacterial small subunit ribosomal RNA", at positions 28 to 506 of the family's 1533-position model. The record is from RNAcentral.
GGUGAACGCUGGCGGUAGGCCUAACACAUGCAAGUCGAGCGGCAGCACAGUAAGAGCUUGCUCUUACGGGUGGCGAGUGGCGGACGGGUGAGGAAUACAUCGGAAUCUACUUUUUCGUGGGGGAUAACGUAGGGAAACUUACGCUAAUACCGCAUACGACCUACGGGUGAAAGCAGGGGAUCUUCGGACCUUGCGCGAUUGAAUGAGCCGAUGUCGGAUUAGCUAGUUGGCGGGGUAAAGGCCCACCAAGGCGACGAUCCGUAGCUGGUCUGAGAGGAUGAUCAGCCACACUGGAACUGAGACACGGUCCAGACUCCUACGGGAGGCAGCAGUGGGGAAUAUUGGACAAUGGGCGCAAGCCUGAUCCAGCCAUACCGCGUGGGUGAAGAAGGCCUUCGGGUUGUAAAGCCCUUUUGUUGGGAAAGAAAAGCAGCAGGUUAAUACCCCGCUGUUCUGACGGUACCCAAAGAAUAAGCACCGGCUAACUUCGU